GACAUGUAUAUUUUAGAAGUUAUAAAUAUUGUGUAAAAACUGUAUUCCUCUGCCGGUGAUAAUGAGAUUACCUAUUGUGUUCAGUAAUCAUAUCACAGGCAGAGGGGAGGAGUUUGUGUGGGAGUGUCUGGGUGUAUUGUACGGAUUGAUUGGUUGUUUUGUAACGCCCUGUGGGCUGUACUAUGUUUGUGGAUUGGAAAUAAAAGAGACUGUAUGUGACAGUACAGGGAGUUCCUGUUUUAACCCUCAAAGUGAAGUGUCGUCUCAUUAUUGGGGGAAGGAUUUAUUGUAUGCUGUUCCAGUUUGACUGCUUGAAGAGUAAACCUAUUCGUAUGGUUCCUAUUCAACUGUUUACAGCAUUCAUAUGCUUGGGAGAAUUUAUUUGUUUCUCCGGUUCGGUGAUUGUGGUGUCUGCCAGAGUGCUUGGAG
Pelobates cultripes (western spadefoot toad) is the source of this 429-nucleotide non-coding RNA. The record is from the annotation of a GenBank genome assembly. Lineage: Eukaryota; Metazoa; Chordata; Amphibia; Anura; Pelobatidae.